Molecule: long non-coding RNA, 1146 nt
Filed under: Nicotiana benthamiana
Lineage: Eukaryota; Viridiplantae; Streptophyta; Magnoliopsida; Solanales; Solanaceae
Description: long non-coding RNA (NBEN_LNC019663)
Source: RNAcentral
GCAACACUACAUCCCACAAUAAACAGGGUACACCAAAAAGGACUCAAAGAACAAAUGUUGAGAUCUUCAAUAUAUCCAAAAAUUAUAAAAGAAGAAACUGUUCAUACUGAAGGGAACAGAGAAGAAAUAGCUGCAGAUCCAUAGGAAAAACUGUCUCAAGCACCAAAAAAAAAAAAUUAAGCUACUGAAAACAAGUGACUGGUUGAUGUCAUAAAUAAAUAUCAAAUUCAUCUACAAAGGUGUACUACAAUUCUACACGAGCAAUUGGAAGGCGCAAACACCAUAUACGAUGAUUAAUUACUGUAUCAUACCGAAUUCACGGGGCAGUGGGUGACUUAAAUUAAAACAUGCACUACAACGGUUCUAAAUGACUAACCUGUUUCAACGUUUAAAAAAACUAGUCGAUGAACCUUAAAACAUGCACUAGAACAGUUCUAAAUGAUACUUCAUUCCUCCAAUUAUAAAUUUUUUUGAAAAGUUUGGUGUUAUAUCUAAUUUAUAUAUAAUACAUUAUACCAGUAUAGAAAAACAAACCUAAUAAUGAUUGAGUAAACUAAUACGGCGGAGGCCAUCAUCAAAUCAACAAUAUCAAAGUUCCAAAAUUGAAUAGUUAAGCGAAUUAAAAUUGUUAGGUUAAACCUUAACCUAGUAUGACCUUCCUAACAUAAUACAAAAACAGAUCCUCGUCCAAGCCGCACUAAAAAAAACAUGGUUGCCAAAAAAUACAGAGCUAAUGCAACUAGUCAGAAAAGAAGAUCCAUACAAAAACAGGACUUUUCACCAAUAACUAUUCAGAAGGAAUCAAGCACAUAGCAACAACGAUCCAAAACGAACUACAGAAUCACCACACAAGCAAGGAUUUAAACAGCCCAUGCUAAAAACAACGAGCAAUUUACAUCCCAAAUAAACAGGGUACACCAAAAAGGACUCAAGAACAAAUGUUGAGAUCUUUAAUAUAUCCAAAAAUUAUAAAAGGAAACAACGAGCAAUUUACAUCCCAAAUAAAAAAAAUUAAAAAAAAGGAAGGAUAGAAAAGUACCGGAGAGAAGAUCCUGAUAAACCAACAUUAUCGUAGAGAAUUUUUCUCUGUUUCUCCCUCUGAAGAACUUGCUUAACAAAAACGCACAAGAGGAGGAGAAAACAGAG